This 425-nucleotide ribosomal RNA is filed under the name uncultured bacterium. RNAcentral describes it as "bacterial SSU rRNA". It matches the Rfam family "Bacterial small subunit ribosomal RNA", at positions 355 to 772 of the family's 1533-position model. The record is from RNAcentral.
UGGGGAAUAUUGGACAAUGGGCGCAAGCCUGAUCCAGCCAUACCGCGUGGGUGAAGAAGGCCUUCGGGUUGUAAAGCCCUUUUGUUGGGAAAGAAAUCCAGCUGGCUAAUACCCGGUUGGGAUGACGGUACCCAAAGAAUAAGCACCGGCUAACUUCGUGCCAGCAGCCGCGGUAAUACGAAGGGUGCAAGCGUUACUCGGAAUUACUGGGCGUAAAGCGUGCGUAGGUGGUCGUUUAAGUCCGUUGUGAAAGCCUGGGCUCAACCUGGGAACUGCAGUGGAUACUGGGCGACUAGAGUGUGGUAGAGGGUAGCGGAAUUCCUGGUGUAGCAGUGAAAUGCGUAGAGAUCAGGAGGAACAUCCAUGGCGAAGGCAGCUACCUGGACCAAGCACUGACACUGAGGCACGAAAGCGUGGGGAGCAAA